Thalassophryne amazonica is the source of this 97-nucleotide long non-coding RNA. RefSeq lists it as uncharacterized. The transcript has 3 exons. The record is from RefSeq and is a predicted model, not a curated record. NCBI's taxonomy places the organism in Eukaryota, Metazoa, Chordata, Actinopteri, Batrachoidiformes, Batrachoididae.
GUACAAAUGAACAAAAUGUAGACAAAAACAUGCAAAACACAAUCCAGAACAGAUCUGAUUCUAAAAAGUCCCAAUUUGAAGUGUUGUAUAUCAGCAG